This 64-nucleotide transfer RNA is filed under the name Camelus bactrianus (Bactrian camel). It matches the Rfam family "tRNA", at positions 5 to 66 of the family's 71-position model. Rfam says of the family: Transfer RNA (tRNA) molecules are approximately 80 nucleotides in length. Their secondary structure includes four short double-helical elements and three loops (D, anti-codon, and T loops). Further hydrogen bonds mediate the characteristic L-shaped molecular structure. tRNAs have two regions of fundamental functional importance: the anti-codon, which is responsible for specific mRNA codon recognition, and the 3' end, to which the tRNAs corresponding amino acid is attached (by aminoacyl-tRNA synthetases). tRNAs cope with the degeneracy of the genetic code in two manners: having more than one tRNA (with a specific anti-codon) for a particular amino acid; and 'wobble' base-pairing, i.e. permitting non-standard base-pairing at the 3rd anti-codon position. The record is from Rfam by way of RNAcentral. RNAcentral also lists the same sequence under 2 other names. Lineage: Eukaryota; Metazoa; Chordata; Mammalia; Artiodactyla; Camelidae.
GUAAAGCUCAGUGGUGGAGUGCGUGCUUCGCAUGCACGAGGUCCUGGGUUCAAUCCCCCCGUAC